UACGUAGGGUGCGAGCGUUGUCCGGAAUUACUGGGCGUAAAGAGCUCGUAGGUGGUUUGUCGCGUUGUCCGUGAAAACUCACAACUCAAUUGUGGGCGUGCGGGCGAUACGGGCAGACUGGAGUACUGCAGGGGAGACUGGAAUUCCUGGUGUAGCGGUGGAAUGCGUAGAUAUCGGGAGGAACACCUAUGGCGAAGGCAGCUCGCUGGGACGGUACUGACGCUGAGACGCGAAAGCGUGGGGAGCGAACAGG
RNAcentral lists this ribosomal RNA (253 nucleotides) under uncultured bacterium. Its description in RNAcentral is "partial 16S ribosomal RNA". It matches the Rfam family "Bacterial small subunit ribosomal RNA", at positions 524 to 776 of the family's 1533-position model. The record is from RNAcentral.